AGAGAGAGAGAGGAAGGAGAAGGAGGAAGGGAGAGAGGGAGAGAGAUAGAUAGAGACGAAGAAACAGAGAGGGAGUGUGUAUGUAAGAGAGAAAGAGAGUGAGAGAGAGAGAGAGAUCGUGUGGCCACUGUCACGAAAAAUCACGAAUGCGUUUCUUGCUUUCUCUCUCUCUUUUUUUCUUUUUCCAAACUCCUCGUUUUUCUUUAAUUUUUAAUCGGAGAUCACUUUGAAAUAAAACACUUUUUCUUUUCGAGCGAAUAACUUGUGAAAAGAAGUAAUAAUAGUAGUAGUAGAGUAAUAGUAAUAGUAAUAGUAGUAGUAGUAGUAGUAAUAGUGUAGUAGAAGAAGAAGAAGAAGACGAUGAAGAAGAAUAAGAGGUGAAGGUGGAGGUGGUGGUAAUGUUGGUGGUGGUGGUGGUGGUGGCGGAGGAAGAGAAGAAGAAGAAGAAGAAGAAGAAGGAAGGUAAAGGACGUCCUUUCGGGAUAAGGAAUCCUGGUUAUACAAGCCGUGUCUUGCUUCUUCUAUCGGCUGGUAGACUGGUCGUAGCAGGUCGGUUGGAGAAGGACGAGGUCGGGGUAUAGGGAAAGAGAAGGCACACAGAUAUACCACUGUGUGCGUUUAAUACUCUUGAAAGAGAAGAGAGAGAGAGAGAGAGAGGGAAAGAAAAAGAGAAACGAGAGAAACGAGAAAGCACGAUAUGCGGGAUAUGCCGGAGGAGAAGAGAAAAGAAGAGAAAAGAAAAAGAGAAAGGGUGGGGGGUGAGAGUGAGAGAGAGCAACACCGGUUUUGCUUGCUUCAACUUGUCCGUAGUUGGCAAGACUGCAGAUAGAGGUCGGUACCUUCGAAAUAGCUUUCUUCUUUGUCGUCGUCGUCGUCGUCGUCGUCGUGCUCGUCGUUCUCGUCGUAUAAAUAUCUCAACGUAUUAUACCUCGAAGGAAAAUCCAUUUGGAAUACAUAGAGAGGUUUGUUUCUUGGGAUACGGCAUGGAAUGCAUACGCGCCGAUCCUUCCAAAGUGAUGAUUCACGCGGUCUCUCUCGUCAGAACGGUAGAAAGGGAGAAUGGGGAAACUACAAGAGAGUGGGCCGUUUAAAUCACGUUGAAACAACUAAAAGGGACGGACGAGGAUGGAGAAUAUUGAAAAUUUUUCACGACAUAGAGAAAACCAUUGAACACCUGAUGAGGAAAAAGGAAAGAAGUGUCCUUAGAAGGUCGAUGCGUGGGUAUUUUAGAUGAACUCAGAUCUUUUCGCAGGUAGUUUUUAUUGUAAGCCGUUCGCAGGUAAACGAAUUUAUUGCAGCAGGUAGUUCUUCCUCUCCUGUUGCAGGUAAAAUGAUCUAAGGUAACACGAGAAGCUUUGCUUGGAGAUUCUCCUUUUUCAAUAUGGCUUCUUUUAGACCUAUGCGAUUCUUUUGUUUUUUUAAUCUUUCAUCUACCAUGGACAGAAAGUCUAGUAGAGUAAGCAUAGAUAAGUAGAAUGACAAUUUUUAUUAUUAUUGUUUUUAUUAAAUGUCUCUUUGUCUAAAAUAUCAAUAUAUAAAAAAGUUCUCUAUUUCCUUGUCUGAGAGUAAUAUGGGUAAUAUAAAAAUUCUAAAUUGUAUCAUUAAUUUUUUUUAUUUAUUAUUUUAUAAAAUAAGGAAAAACAAUCCAUAGCUUACUCGAUAAGGGACGGGUUUGGAAGGGCUAUGACUUAGGGGAUUUAGAAAGUUCCUUGAAGAAUUCAGACUGGACGUGGUUAUGAUGUUCGAAAGGGGGCGUGGUUAGUAAAGGGCGUGUCCCGAUGGGCGUGGCCGUGAAAUCUGAUCUAUGAGGUUUUGAGUGAAGCGUAGCUUGUGUGGUAGUUCAGAAGGGGUGUGUCUUAGGAAGGUUGAAAGGGCGUGUUCUGGAAGUUCGAAAGGGCAGGCUGUUCAGAGAACAUGUUUACAGUUGAGGAAAUCUGUUCUUUUUUUACAUAUAGUAAGACACACCCCUCUCCCAAUCCAGUAAAUCACGCCCCCUUCAUCUCUCCAAUAAGCUACGCUCCUUUCAAGCUCCUGCUGUAAGCAACGCCCUUUUGCCCACCCCAAUAACCUACGUCUUUACGUUAAAUAUAAUAAUUUUUUUUAUCCUCAUAUUAUUCUUAAAUGAAGGGGAAGAAACUUGAAAUUCAAGAUCUGAAAUUUCAUUUCUUUGAUCUCGUUUCUUGAAAAGAACAUUGUAUAGUAAAUUAUAAUAACAAAAACUGAUCCGGAGGACACAUUUAUCCUGUUUGAUUUUUUUUUUAUUCUACUGAUUUCCAUAUUCCAUAUUCGUGUAUUCGUUUUAUAAUAGAACAGUAAUAUUAAUUGUUCUGAUAGGUUUCAUUAAGUUUUGUCAAUCAUUCCAAAAUUAAGAUAAUAAAUAAAGUGAAUAAAUACAUUAUAAUCAUAGCAAAUAUCUUGCAGUAUUUACAAGGCCAAAUAUCUCUGUGUUGCACGUUUGCGGAUCUUGCUUUUAGCUGUCGUAAGAAUAUAAAUGCGAAUGAGCGAUUGUUUUUAUCAGUUCUAAAUGUAUAUGAAAGAAAUGAUAUACUCUUUGCAUCCUGCAUAAUCGUAUCGAUUAUUCAUGCUAAGAGAAUAAUUGAUUAAUAUUUGCAUGUCUUUAUGAUUUGUCCAAUGUAUGUAAUUAUGUAAAAUUUUUCUUUCUCUUUUUUUUUUUAUUAAUAAGCUUCUUAACUCGUGCUAAAUUAUGCGUUUUUAAAAAUUUCUUUUUAAUGCUAUUAAUCACAAUUGUAUUUCUUAUACAAUUUUACGUAAGAUUGAUUACAUUGAUUGGUCAUUAAAUUUGAAUCGAAAUAAGCAUAUUUAUUUAAUAAUAUAAUACAAUUUUUUCCUCGGUAGUCUUUAGAAGAAAAAUUUCUCUAAUCCAACAUGCAUCGUGUAUGAUAAACUAAUUAGAAGUGACAUAAAUUGGAACUAUUCUUUACCUCUAAGUGUCACAAGAAUGCGGAUGUGGGGAAAGCCAUAAUCAGCUUAUUUCACAAGGUGUACGAGAGCAUCAGGAAAGAAACCUUUUAUUUAUGUGUAAAAUUACGUUCUAGGGUCAACAUAAACUAUGACAUAUAAAUCUGCUAUUUUGACGUUUAUAAUAGUAUCAAUAUCUCUCUCAGGAUUUAUAUUAUAUAAAAAUGUAAGAAAAUUUUCAUUAUUCUCAAUCAAAGUAAUGAAAAUGAAUAAAAAG
Long non-coding RNA from Vespa crabro (European hornet), 3196 nucleotides. RefSeq lists it as uncharacterized. The record is from RefSeq and is a predicted model, not a curated record. The transcript is spliced from 3 exons. Lineage: Eukaryota; Metazoa; Arthropoda; Insecta; Hymenoptera; Vespidae.